This 513-nucleotide ribosomal RNA is filed under the name uncultured Chloroflexota bacterium. Its description in RNAcentral is "bacterial SSU rRNA". It matches the Rfam family "Bacterial small subunit ribosomal RNA", at positions 355 to 888 of the family's 1533-position model. The record is from RNAcentral. Lineage: Bacteria; Bacillati; Chloroflexota.
UAAGGGAUAUUGCGCCAAUGGGCGAAAGCCUGACGCAGCAACGCCGCGUGCGGGAUGACGGCCUUCGGUUGUAAACCGCUUUCGAGGAGAAGAGGCAGGACGGUAUCCUCGGAAGAAGUCUCGGCUAACUACGUGCCAGCAGCCGCGGUAAAACGUAGGAGGCAAGCGUUAUCCGGAUUUACUGGGUGUAAAGCGCGCGCAGGCGGUUCGUUAAGGGGGUGUGAAAGCGCUCAGGCUCAACCGGGCGAGGACAUGUCCGACUGGCGAACUGGAAGCAGGUAGAGGCGGGUGGAAUUCCGGGUGUAGUGGUGAAAUGCGUAGAGAUCCGGAGGAACACCAGUGGCGAAGGCGGCCCGCUGGGCCUGACUUGACGCUCAGGCGCGACAGCAUGGGGAGCGAACGGGAUUAGAAACCCCGGUAGUCCAUGCCGUAAACGAUGUGGACUGGGUGUGGCGUCGCAAGAGGCUGUGCCGAACCCAACGGGAUAAGUCCACCACCUGGGGACUACGGCCG